GAUGAACGCUGGCGGCGUGCCUAAUACAUGCAAGUCGAGCGAACGGACGAGAAGCUUGCUUCUCUGAUGUUAGCGGCGGACGGGUGAGUAACACGUGGAUAACCUACCUAUAAGACUGGGAUAACUUCGGGAAACCGGAGCUAAUACCGGAUAAUAUUUUGAACCGCAUGGUUCAAAAGUGAAAGACGGUCUUGCUGUCACUUAUAGAUGGAUCUGCGCUGCAUUAGCUAGUUGGUAAGGUAACGGCUUACCAAGGCAACGAUGCAUAGCCGACCUGAGAGGGUGAUCGGCCACACUGGAACUGAGACACGGUCCAGACUCCUACGGGAGGCAGCAGUAGGGAAUCUUCCGCAAUGGGCGAAAGCCUGACGGAGCAACGCCGCGUGAGUGAUGAAGGCCUUCGGAUCGUAAAACUCUUUUAUUAGGAAAGAAAAUAUGUGUAAGAAACUGUGCACAUCUUGACGGUACCUAAUCAGAAAGCCCCGGCUAACUACGUG
This 497-nucleotide ribosomal RNA is filed under the name uncultured bacterium. RNAcentral's name for it is "partial 16S ribosomal RNA". It matches the Rfam family "Bacterial small subunit ribosomal RNA", at positions 28 to 507 of the family's 1533-position model. The record is from RNAcentral.